Molecule: ribosomal RNA, 1405 nt
Filed under: Debaryomyces psychrophilus
Lineage: Eukaryota; Fungi; Ascomycota; Pichiomycetes; Serinales; Debaryomycetaceae
Description: SSU rRNA
Rfam family: Bacterial small subunit ribosomal RNA
Source: RNAcentral
AUAUAUGAGAACAUGAUGUUGGUUCAGAUCAAAUGCUAUGUAGAGGCAUUACACAUGCAAGUUAUAUGAUUAAAAAUAAAAUUUAAUCAAUAAAUAUAGCGUUCAGGUGAGUGAUAUUGUAUAUGACAAAUAUACAUUCAGAUGUAGGUAUUAGAUAUAAAUCUAGCCAUCGAACUGGAGCCGGCGAUUUUCGUCACAACGGCCACAUAAGCCCGAAAGGGCUUACUCUUAUUAGGAGCAGCAGUGGGGAAUCUUUGACAAUGGUCUAACGACUGAUCAAGCUAUCUACGAGAAGGAUAUUACUAAUAAUAUUUAUAAUAAAAAUACUCUGCCUUUGGGUAGGGUAUACUCGGCUACGUCGGGUAUUAUAUAUAUUAUAUAUAUUAUAAAUAUAUUUAUAUAUUUAUAUAAAAAAAAUAAUAAAAGGUAUAACUAUAAACUUCUAAACAUAUAUAAUAAUGAUAUAUAUGUGAAAGAGUCCUAACUAAAACAUGUGCCAGCAGCUGCGGUUAGACAUGGAGGGCUAGCAUUGUUCAGAAUGGCUUAAAGUACCUGUAGAACUUUUUAUAUUAUAUAUAAAAUAGAAUAAACUUGUUUUUAUUUAUAAAAAAUAAAUAAAAGCGUAAAGGUGAUUAGAAAUAAAGUUAGAGAGAUGAAAUACAGCGAAAACAUUAUGACUGCAUAAAUAUCACUUAAGUUUAUUGACGUUGUGAGGUGAAGGCUACGGGCGCAACAUGGAUUCGAUACCCAUUUAGUCGUAGCAGUAAACUAUGAAUACAAUAAUAGAAAAAUUAAAAUGAAUAGUAUUCCGCCUGACUAGUACGCUCGCAAGGGUGAAAUACAAGACAUUAGACGGUUGUAGUCACGAGCAGUGGAACAUGUCGUUUAAUUGGAUAAUCCUCCUAAAAUCUUACCAUCUCUUGAAUAUUUUACAGGCGUUACAUCGUUGUCGUCAGUUCAUGCCGUGAGGUUUAAUAUUUAGUUAUUUAAUGAACGUAAUCCCUUAUAUUUUAUAUUAAGCAUUGUUGAGAAACAAUGGGAAGUAGGGGCCGAAGACUAAUCAUGAUGACCCUUAUGAGAUGGGCUAUAGACGUGUUACGAUGUUAUUGACAAUUAUAAAUAUAUUUAUAUAUAUUUCUUUAAACAAUAAGAUUAAGACAUAGAUACUUUCAUGGAUUGUAGUCUGAAAUUCGACUACAUGAAGGAGGAAUUGCUAGUAAUCGCGAACUAGAGAGUCGCGGUGAAAUUCUUAACUACUUCGUACUAACCACUCAUCAACAGCAAGAAACUUUUACUUUCCUGUAAAAGAUCUAUUUGAUCUUUUUGAUUGGUUUGUUUACACGUGACCUGCUGUAAGUUGAAAUACGGUUCGGUUAGGGGAACCUGAUCGGGAUUUAUUACUUUU